RNAcentral lists this ribosomal RNA (485 nucleotides) under uncultured bacterium. RNAcentral's name for it is "bacterial SSU rRNA". It matches the Rfam family "Bacterial small subunit ribosomal RNA", at positions 30 to 508 of the family's 1533-position model. The record is from RNAcentral.
AUUGAACGCUGGCGGCAGGCCUAACACAUGCAAGUCGAGCGGAUGAGGGGUGCUUGCACCCCGAUUCAGCGGCGGACGGGUGAGUAAUGCCUAGGAAUCUGCCCGGUAGUGGGGGACAACGUUUCGAAAGGAACGCUAAUACCGCAUACGUCCUACGGGAGAAAGCGGGGGACCUUCGGGCCUCGCGCCAUUAGAUGAGCCUAGGUCGGAUUAGCUAGUUGGUGAGGUAAUGGCUCACCAAGGCUACGAUCCGUAACUGGUCUGAGAGGAUGAUCAGUCACACUGGAACUGAGACACGGUCCAGACUCCUACGGGAGGCAGCAGUGGGGAAUAUUGGACAAUGGGCGAAAGCCUGAUCCAGCCAUGCCGCGUGUGUGAAGAAGGUCUUCGGAUUGUAAAGCACUUUAAGUCGGGAGGAAGGGCUGCCGGUUAAUACCCUGCAGCCUUGACGUUACCGACAGAAUAAGCACCGGCUAACUUCGUGC